UCCGAGUUGACCCCGGCAGUCUCCCAUGAGUCCCCGCCAUAACGCGCUGGCAACUGGGAGCGGGGGUUGCGCUCGUUGCGGGACUUAACCCAACAUCUCACGACACGAGCUGACGACAGCCAUGCAGCACCUGUCUUGGGACUCCGAAGAGCGUCGCUGGUUUCCCAGCGACUUCCCCAAGAUGUCAAGCCCAGGUAAGGUUCUUCGCGUUGCGUCGAAUUAAACCACAUGCUCCACCGCUUGUGCGGGCCCCCGUCAAUUCCUUUGAGUUUCAGCCUUGCGGCCGUACUCCCCAGUCGGGGCACUUAAUGCGUUAGCGCCGGCACCCAGGGGGUCGCUCCCCCAGGCACCUAGUGCCCAUCGUUUACGGCGUGGACUAC
Molecule: unclassified non-coding RNA, 380 nt
Filed under: uncultured Gemmatimonadaceae bacterium
Lineage: Bacteria; Pseudomonadati; Gemmatimonadota; Gemmatimonadia; Gemmatimonadales; Gemmatimonadaceae
Description: contains 16S-23S intergenic spacer region
Source: RNAcentral